RNAcentral lists this ribosomal RNA (428 nucleotides) under uncultured archaeon. Its description in RNAcentral is "bacterial SSU rRNA". It matches the Rfam family "Archaeal small subunit ribosomal RNA", at positions 474 to 903 of the family's 1478-position model. The record is from RNAcentral.
CACCAGCCCCUCGAGUGGUGGGGAUGAUUAUUUGGCCUAAAGCGUCCGUAGCCGGCCGGGUAAGUUUCCCGUUAAAUCCAAUGUCUCAAGCAUUGGACUGCGGGAAAUACUGUCUGGCUAGAGAGUGGGAGAGGUGUACGGUAUUCUGGGGGUAGGGGCGAAAUCCUUUGAUCCCCGGAGGACCACCAGUGGCGAAGGCUGUACACUAGAACACGUCUGACGGUCAGGGACGAAAGCUGGGGUAGCGAACCGGAUUAGAUACCCGGGUAGUCCCAGCUGUAAACGAUGCAUGCUAGGUGUUGGGUUGGCCACGAGCCACCCCAGUGCCGCAGGGAAGCCGUUAAGCAUGCCGCCUGGGAAGUACGAUCGCAAGAUUGAAACUUAAAGGAAUUGGCGGGGAGCACCACCAGGCGUGAAGCCUGCGGUUU